AAACUUUCAACAACGGAUCUCUUGGUUCUCGCAUCGAUGAAGAACGCAGCGAAACGCGAUAGGUAAUGUGAAUUGCAGAAUUCAGUGAAUCAUCGAAUCUUUGAACGCACAUUGCGCUCCCUGGUAUUCCUAGGAGCAUGUCUGUCCGAGCGUCAGUA
This 158-nucleotide ribosomal RNA is filed under the name Lecophagus muscicola. RNAcentral's name for it is "5.8S ribosomal RNA". It matches the Rfam family "5.8S ribosomal RNA". Rfam says of the family: 5.8S ribosomal RNA (5.8S rRNA) is a component of the large subunit of the eukaryotic ribosome. The record is from RNAcentral. Lineage: Eukaryota; Fungi; Ascomycota; Orbiliomycetes; Orbiliales.